UGAGGUUUAUAUACGAGAACGUGAUUAUUGACUUCCUGAAAAGUAGUUGAAACGAUACCAUUUAAGGUAAAGUAUGUAUUAGUGAGUACUGUUUAAAGAUUUUCAGUUUUUCACAAGCAAGCCGAGUAUGCUUGAGUUUUAUGAAAGAUAAAGAUAAGCAGGCAUGUUUUAAUAUUUUCAUGUGGUUUUCUGAGACUUUUAUUGACUACAUGACUGAAAUAUUGAGCCCGAGGCUAUAUGGUACCAUGUGCACACAGGUUCUAUUUUGUUGUUGACGUUGAGUGUACUCCCUGACAACGAUGCUGUUGGGAGUGUUGGGCGGGCCCCACUAUGACAAAGACGAUGGGAGUGCUGGGCGAGCCCUACUACAUCGUAGAGCUAGUAAACAUUGGUAGAGAUCGAGCUCCCGGUGCCUGAUAACUGCCAAAGUCUGUUUUCUCCUAAAAGCUUCCAGAUCAAGCUUCAUACGUGGGUGGAAUUGUACAUUGUGUUUGUUUAUAUUGUAAAUGUCUUUGUAAGAACUGGAUAGUUUAUGGUUGUGUAAGCACUAGAUGUCGUGGUUGUGUAAACCCCAGUUGGAUAUGUUUUUGGUUGUGAUAUCUCUAUCAGGUUAUUUUCCAAA
Benincasa hispida (wax gourd) is the source of this 622-nucleotide non-coding RNA. NCBI's taxonomy places the organism in Eukaryota, Viridiplantae, Streptophyta, Magnoliopsida, Cucurbitales, Cucurbitaceae. The record is from RefSeq and is a predicted model, not a curated record.